Molecule: ribosomal RNA, 253 nt
Filed under: uncultured Allobaculum sp.
Lineage: Bacteria; Bacillati; Bacillota; Erysipelotrichia; Erysipelotrichales; Erysipelotrichaceae
Description: partial 16S ribosomal RNA
Rfam family: Bacterial small subunit ribosomal RNA
Source: RNAcentral
UACGUAGGUGGCGAGCGUUAUCCGGAAUGAUUGGGCGUAAAGGGUGCGCAGGCGGUCCUGCAAGUCUGGAGUGAAACGUAUGAGCUCAACUCAUGCAUGGCUCUGGAAACUGGAGGACUGGAGAGCAGGAGAGGGCGGUGGAACUCCAUGUGUAGCGGUAAAAUGCGUAGAUAUAUGGAAGAACACCGAUAGCGAAGGCAGCUUACCAGACUGAGUCUGACGCUGAUGCACGAGAGCAUGGGUAGCGAACAGG